AUACGGUGGAUACGGAGGAGACGGUGAUCAUCAGCAAUUCAUUUCCCCGGGCACUCCUUACGUUCAUCAAAACAAUUCGGACGUUGGAGGAUAUGGUGGUUAUGGUGGAUAUGGUAGAUAUGGUGGUGAAGCACCUCCCAUUCUGGACAGUCCGUACUUAAAAAAGACGGUUUUCAACUCCUUAGAUGAACUAAAGAAACGGAUACAAGAAAUAGCAAACGCGGAUGGUUUCGUUAUUGUCACCCGUCGAUCAAAGAAAAUCGGGGGAAGAACCGGGAGGGUAUGGCUUGAAUGUGAUCGUGGUGGUGAGCACCAGAGUACAGCAACACUUAGAAAAGCUGGAAGCAAAAAAACCGGUUGCCCGUUUUACCUGCUGGCUGUCCGAAACCACCCGUAUGAAACCUGGGAGAUAAAAGACGGAACAAUU
Molecule: long non-coding RNA, 427 nt
Organism: Helianthus annuus (common sunflower)
Lineage: Eukaryota; Viridiplantae; Streptophyta; Magnoliopsida; Asterales; Asteraceae
Exons: 2
Source: RefSeq, a predicted model, not a curated record